RNAcentral lists this ribosomal RNA (577 nucleotides) under uncultured bacterium. RNAcentral describes it as "bacterial SSU rRNA". It matches the Rfam family "Bacterial small subunit ribosomal RNA", at positions 338 to 916 of the family's 1533-position model. The record is from RNAcentral.
CCUACGGGAGGCAGCAGUAGGGAAUAUUGGGCAAUGGGCGAGAGCCUGACCCAGCCAUGCCGCGUGCAGGAUGAAGGCCUUCUGGGUUGUAAACUGCUUUUCUCAGGGAAGAAAAGAGGAUGCGUCCUAAACUGACGGUACCUGAGGAAUAAGCACCGGCUAACUCCGUGCCAGCAGCCGCGGUAAUACGGAGGGUGCAAGCGUUGUCCGGAUUUAUUGGGUUUAAAGGGUGCGUAGGCGGCCCGUUAAGUCCGGGGUGAAAGCCCACAGCUCAACUGUGGAACUGCCCUGGAUACUGGCGGGCUUGAGUCCAGACGAGGUUGGCGGAAUGGAAGGUGUAGCGGUGAAAUGCAUAGAUACCUUCCAGAACCCCGAUUGCGUAGGCAGCUGACUAGGCUGGUACUGACGCUGAGGCACGAAAGCGUGGGGAGCGAACAGGAUUAGAUACCCUGGUAGUCCACGCCGUAAACGAUGGAUACUCGCUGGUGGCGAUAGACAGUCACUGGCUUAGCGAAAGCGGUAAGUAUCCCACCUGGGGAGUACGCUCGCAAGAGUGAAACUUAAAUGAAAUUGACGG